CGCGAGCUGGGUUCAGAACGUCGUGAGACAGUUGGGUCCCUAUCCGUCGUGGGCGUAGGAAAUUUGAGAGGAGCUGUCCUUAUUACGAGAGGACCGGGAUGGACAUACCUCUGGUGUACCAGUUGUCGUGCCAACGGCAUAGCUGGGUAGCUAUGUGUGGACGGGAUAAGUGCUGAAAGCAUCUAAGCAUGAAGCCCCCCUCAAGAUGAGAUUUCCCAACUUCGGUUAUAAGAUCCCUCAAAGAUGAUGAGGUUAAUAGGUUCGAGGUGGAAGCAUGGUGACAUGUGGAGCUGACGAAUACUAAUCGAUCGAAGACUUAAUCAAAA
This 326-nucleotide ribosomal RNA is filed under the name Staphylococcus aureus. Its description in RNAcentral is "bacterial LSU rRNA". It matches the Rfam family "Bacterial large subunit ribosomal RNA", at positions 2599 to 2925 of the family's 2925-position model. The record is from RNAcentral. Lineage: Bacteria; Bacillati; Bacillota; Bacilli; Caryophanales; Staphylococcaceae.